GCUUAACACAUGCAAGUCGAGCGGGCGCAGCAAUGCGUCAGCGGCAGACGGGUGAGUAACGCGUGGGAACGUACCUUUUGGUUCGGAACAACACAGGGAAACUUGUGCUAAUACCGUAUACGUCCGAGAGGAGAAAGAUUUAUCGCUAUGAGACGGGCCCGCGUCCGAUUAGCUUGUUGGUGGGGUAACGGCCUACCAAGGCAACGAUCGGUAGCUGAUCUGAGAGGAUGAUCAGCCACACUGGGACUGAGACACGGCCCAGACUCCUACGGGAGGCAGCAGUGGGGAAUCUUGGACAAUGGGCGAAAGCCUGAUCCAGCCAUGCCGCGUGAGUGAUGAAGGCCCUAGGGUUGUAAAGCUCUUUUGUGCGGGAAGAUAAUGACGGUACCGCAAGAAUAAGCCCCGGCUAACUUCGUGCCAGCAGCCGCGGUAAUAC
Molecule: ribosomal RNA, 436 nt
Filed under: uncultured Alphaproteobacteria bacterium
Lineage: Bacteria; Pseudomonadati; Pseudomonadota; Alphaproteobacteria
Description: bacterial SSU rRNA
Rfam family: Bacterial small subunit ribosomal RNA
Source: RNAcentral